RNAcentral lists this long non-coding RNA (330 nucleotides) under Betta splendens (Siamese fighting fish). Its description in RNAcentral is "lncRNA (ENSBSLG00000007584.1)". The record is from RNAcentral. Lineage: Eukaryota; Metazoa; Chordata; Actinopteri; Anabantiformes; Osphronemidae.
CAGAAUGAAGAACUCACCUUUAACACGGUGUGUUCUGAAGACAACCUCACCAGACUCAGGAAGGCGAACUCAGAGCUGAGGGCUGAAAUCAAGAAAACCCUCGUCGCAUUGAUGCUGAGAGACAGAGACGUCGCAAAGGUUGGUCGAUCGAUCGUGGUGCAGGGAAACGCUGUUGUCGUGCUGCUUCGUGUAACUGGACUUGUUGAUCUACAGAAGGACGUUCUUCUGGAUAAGAUGAGAAGCGCUCAUGUGGGGAAUCAUAACAUGAUCGAGGGUCUGCAGUCAGAGCUGCAGAGGCUACAGGAACAUUCGCACCAAAUUCUUUUGAGG